This 209-nucleotide ribosomal RNA is filed under the name uncultured bacterium. Its description in RNAcentral is "partial 16S ribosomal RNA". It matches the Rfam family "Bacterial small subunit ribosomal RNA", at positions 145 to 353 of the family's 1533-position model. The record is from RNAcentral.
AACUACUAGGAAACGGUAGCUAAUACCGCAUAACGUCGCAAGACCAAAGAGGGGGACCUUCGGGCCUCUUGCCAUCGGAUGUGCCCAGAUGGGAUUAGCUAGUAGGUGGGGUAACGGCUCACCUAGGCGACGAUCCCUAGCUGGUCUGAGAGGAUGACCAGCCACACUGGAACUGAGACACGGUCCAGACUCCUACGGGAGGCAGCAUG